AUUGAACGCUGGCGGCAUGCUUUACACAUGCAAGUCGAACGGCAGCGCGGGCUUCGGCCUGGCGGCGAGUGGCGAACGGGUGAGUAAUACAUCGGAACGUGCCCAGUAGUGGGGGAUAGCUCGGCGAAAGCCGGAUUAAUACCGCAUACGACCUGAGGGUGAAAGCGGGGGAUCUUCCGACCUCGCGCUAUUGGAGCGGCCGAUGGCAGAUUAGCUAGUUGGUGGGGUAAAGGCCUACCAAGGCGACGAUCUGUAGCUGGUCUGAGAGUACGACCAGCAACACUGGCACUGAGACACGGCCCAGACUACUACGGGAGGCAGCAGUGGGAAAUUUUGGACAAUGGGGGAAAGCCUGAUCAAGCAAUGCCGCGUGUGUGAUGAAGGCCUUCGGGUUGUAAAGCACUUUUGGCGGGAACGAAAAGGACUGUGCCAAUACCACGGUUCGAUGACGGUACCCGCAGAAUAAGCACCGGCUAACUACGUG
Molecule: ribosomal RNA, 484 nt
Filed under: uncultured bacterium
Lineage: Bacteria
Description: partial 16S ribosomal RNA
Rfam family: Bacterial small subunit ribosomal RNA
Source: RNAcentral